AUUGAAUACAUCUAAUCAUUUAUAAAUUGUAAAAAUAAAUGCAACCCACUGCUCCUAAACAUCCUGAAUGACAUGUUCCUCCAUUGGGGAUGUGAAAAAGCAAUCUAACUAGGAGGGAAGCAUCAUGUAUUUGAUUUUAAAUUAUCAUAAGCAUAGUCACCUACUCUAAAGAACUAAAUGUCGAGUUUGUUGGUUUAGUUUAUAGCAUAUUCUGUUUCGGAAAAGGGAAAAAUAAAGUUUCAAAUAAAGCAGACACAUCCAUAACGACAAUGAGCGAAGGAGUGCACGAGAAUAAUGGCAAUCACUAAAACAGUGAGCAAGAACAAUGUCAACCCGAGAACGAGUGAACGACGAUGAAGAAGAAGGAGAGCGAAUGAAGGAAAACGAGAAAGAAAUAAUGGAAUCGACCGAACGAAUGCACGAGAACAAUGACAGUCACUUAACGAGUGAACGACAAUAAUGCCAACUAGAGAAAAGGAAGGAGAACGAGAACAAAAUAAUCCAAACGACCGAACGAGUGCACGACAACAAUGAAAAUCAUCGAACGAGUGAAUGAGAACUAAGCCAACCAAAGAAGGAGUGAACGAUGAUGAACGAGAAGGAGAACAAAUGAAGGAAAACCAAGGAAAAUGAAAGAGAACAAGAAUGAAAAAUAAAUGGCAGGACAAAGAGAAAGUGAAACAGGAAAGAAGAAAUAGUCUAUACUUGUACUAGGUUUAAGAGGUAUAGAAAAAACAAAAGACUUUCUAUAUUUGUAUUGCAACCCAUAUACAAAUAUUUGUAUUUUAUUAGAAUUUUGUCAUCAUACCACUUUCUCUGCAUGUUCU
Molecule: long non-coding RNA, 827 nt
Filed under: Vigna radiata
Lineage: Eukaryota; Viridiplantae; Streptophyta; Magnoliopsida; Fabales; Fabaceae
Description: long non-coding RNA (VRAD_LNC014371)
Source: RNAcentral